CUUGGCAUGCCAUGACAGUUGUAACAGUUGGCGUUGGCUUUGGAGGAGGCGAGACGCGUUGGACCAAGCUGCCUUGAGGAAGAGGUUUCUUAGCUAAACUUCCACAACUACCAAAGACCAUCUCUGUGGCCAUUGAGGAUACAAGAAUCACUAAAGCUCAUUUAAAGAUGGCUCAACCUAGAAAGAAUCGGACGCCUGUCAAGCGUCAGACUCAUGGCCGACGGAUGACAAGCAGAUCUCCUAUACAAACACCUUCUAAGCAACGCAGACCUGUCUCCUACAUCUUCCGCUUUAGGAAGGUCCGCACAGGUCUUCGCCCCAAGUUUAGAAUGUCCACCAAAGCUCGGAGUGCCAUGUCCUCAUUUGUUAAAAACCUGUGUGACAAGAUGAUAAUUGAAGCAGGAAAACGAAUGCAACGAGAACACAGAAAGACAAUAUUAUCAAAGGAUAUCAAGAGUGCCAUAAGCGUUCUGAUGCCCAGAACCCUGACCAAGCAUGCCUUAUCGAAGGGCAACAAAGUGGGCAAUUACAACCUGAGAAAGCCACAUUAAAAGGCAUCACACAGCACCAGAAAAUGAUAUGUAACUCAAUAAAUAUAUUACAAUCGA
This is a long non-coding RNA of Rana temporaria (common frog), 608 nucleotides long. RefSeq lists it as uncharacterized. The record is from RefSeq and is a predicted model, not a curated record. The transcript has 3 exons. NCBI's taxonomy places the organism in Eukaryota, Metazoa, Chordata, Amphibia, Anura, Ranidae.